RNAcentral lists this long non-coding RNA (2855 nucleotides) under Homo sapiens (human). RNAcentral describes it as "HSALNT0111729". Lineage: Eukaryota; Metazoa; Chordata; Mammalia; Primates; Hominidae. The record is from RNAcentral.
GGGAAGGCAGCUAAGGCCCCGCGAGAAAUUGAGCACAGCAGCUGCUGGCCCAGGUGCUACGCCCCUCACUGCCCGGGGCGGUGGGGCCCCGCCGGCCGCUCCUAGUGCGGGGUCCGCCCAGCCCACGCGCACCCGGAACUCGCGCUGGCCCGGAACUCGCGCUGGCCCGGAACUCGCGCUGGCCCGGAACUCGCGCUGGCCCAGAACUCGCGCUGGCAGGGAAGCACCGCGCGCAGCCCCGCUUCCCGCCCGCGCCUCUCCCUCCACACCUCCUCACAAGCUGAGGGAGCCGGCUCCGGCCUUAGCCAGCCCAGAAAGGGGCUCCCACAGUGCAGCGGCGGGCUGAAGGGCUCCUCAAGUGCCGCCAAAGUGGGAGCCCAGGCAGAGGAGGCGCCGAGAGCGAGCGAGGGCUGUGAGGACUGCCAGCAUGCUGUCACCUCUCAGUAUAAUUUAAGAUCAACCCUAAUUGAAAAUACUAUAUUUUGAAGGGUCACGUUUCUCUUUAGAUUACACACAGUGUCUUGUGAUACUGCCUCUGGUCAGCUGAUUUCUCCUUGCCUCAUUCCAACUUCUUUUGUCAGAAAAUUCUUCAAGAUUGCCACAUUCUUUCACAAUAAUAUGGAUGAAAGAUAUCUCACCAGCACAAGGGAGGUGGGAAGAGAACAUGGAAGUCAAGCACCUUUUUAAAAGAUUUGAAAUGGAAGCUGUGCACAUGACUGUGGAUCAUACCUCUCAUUCACGGCCACAUACAGCUGCAAGUCUCUACGCUUAUGGCCAUACAGCUCAGCCAAAAGGGGUGUAUGUGGGAAGUUCUGUUAAUAAAAAGAGGAAGGGGAGAAUAAAUAAUAGUAGGGGACAAUAACAUUCAAUUUAAUAUAUACAUUGAAUCAAGGAAUACUUCACCACAAUAACCACUAAAAGAUACACACACACGCACACAUACCCACACACACUACUCCUAUCGAUGUCUAUCUAUAUAAGAUAUAUAUAUAUUAUAUCAUAUAUAUAAUAUAUAUCUUAGCUGAAAGUAAAGGGAAAUAUCCUAAAGCACUGCUCAGUUCUGUGAAUACCCUAAGCACUUUUUAUAGACAUAGAGAGGAUCUCAGAAGACUAAGACUAGCAUGAUGUUUAAAAGGCAAACCAAAUAUAUGGAACUAGAAUAAAAACUUAUUUUGAAAAGACACAGCUAAAUAUUCUCGUGUAAACUUUUUGAGGCUGUUUUAGUGAGGGUUACUGUUUGUAUACAGCAAACUCUAACUGCACCUAGCACAUGAAAACUAAUUAGACUUAUUAAAAGACUCUCCAGGGCUUGUAGACGUAACAGCACCUUGGACUACAGGUUUGAAAAUAGGCAUACGUUAAGAAGACAGUUUCAGAUUGAGAUAUAAGAAAUACAGCAACCAUCUUCACCAGGAGAAACAUGGCUAGCUAGGAUGAUGUCUCCACUGUUGUGGGACUAUUACAAAUGAAUUACAACUUUCACUUUGUCUUUGGCUUAUUCUCUCCAGAUAUAAAGUCUUAGGUGGGAGUAUAUGAUUAGCUAAGACUUCAUCACAUGUCCUGUACUCUGGUUGCCUCUGUAACAAAAGUGGGGCAAUUUCUCUUGCCAACACUACACAUAAUGGAGACUCCCCCAAAACUCAGAAGGGAGGUAAGAUGCAAAUUAAACAAUUUUUAAGUCUACUACAGAUCCUGGCAAAGGCUUUCUAGUUUGAUUUUAUAGCCAGUGGUGAUCUGCCUCCAAAUCCUAUCUAUCUUGAAUUAUGGCUUAUGCAGGUUUAAUAAGUCACCUCUUACUAGUUUAAUUCAGGAGCCUCUUCUCUUGUCUUGGACAUUUUUGGUAAUUAAGCCUACUCUUUCUACUUGAAACAACCAUACUCAUGUUUCAGGACUUUAUCUCCCUCUGAUUCUGCCUUCUCUGGUUGUUCUCUAUCAGACUUUCAUUUAUUUCUCUAUUUUCAAAAAACUGAUUUUCUCUAGAAAUUCAGUCUUUGCUUCUUUUUUCUUCUGAAUUUCAUACUAUGAGCAACACCAUUCACUUUUUACUUUCCACAUUUAACACAUAUAUAAAUAAAUUCCAAAUCAACAUACUUCCUGCUUGGCCUCUCUCCUCGUAAGAUACAGAUUGGAAUUAAAUGCUUACACCAAGAACUUCACAUGCCCAUAACCAAACUAAAUAUGUUCUCACAAAUUGUUUUUUUCCUCUUAAUCUCUAUCUUUAUGAAAAAACACUAUUUUUAAUUGAUGCAAACAGUUAUUGAAUCUUCUCUUUCUCUUCCUCAAUCUCAUAACCCCCAUGAACAUCCUUUUGGUUGUCAAGAUCUAUUAAUUCUACGCUUAAGUCUUGCUUCUUUCUCUCUGCUCUUUUCUACCCUUACCCUCCCUGUCUUAGCUUAGGCCCUACAUAUUGUGUCUUUUAAUGAACUGAUGAUGGCCUAUGGGUCAGUUAUGUCAUACCAUAUUUGUCUCCUUGGUGUUUAGUGCUUGGGAUAUAGUAUCAUUAUCGAAUUGAAACAUUUUAAAAUUCCAUUGUAAAGGAGAAACGGUCUUGUAUAUAUGACUAAAUAUAUGUGCAUCUGUGCCUACAUUCACUAUAAUCAUUAUGACUUAGAUAAGAUGUAAAAUAGAUUUAAUGACUAAAAUAUAUGAACAAUAUAUGGCAAUUUAUAUGUGAAUUACUGUUUGAAGUAUAUGUGAAAAUAUCAGUGGGACAUUUUAAAAUCUUCUGUACACACUCAUGUGUUCAAUAUUGAGCCAGUAUAUGAAUGAGUCAGAGUAGCUGUGGCUUCUUGAGCUGGUUGCUCAGCUAUUCCUGUGCUUUCCUUCUUUUACGUUUCUUUGUUCCACUUUAUUUU